AUAGAGUGUGGACUCUUCACUCUUGGGAGAAGUACGAAUGCAUCAAAAGAUGAAGCUCCUGUCUCUAUAUUCGUUAUUUCUUUGGGUCUCAAUUCUCUAUAUUCGUAUAAUGAAUAUCAUCACAAUAUCAUAUUAAGGCCCAUGGGCUAAAGAAUAUAAAGGGCUCGUAGAGUGAUCUCAGAAUCAGUUUUUCUUUUUAUCUGAGAAGUUCCACACCUACAAAAAAAAGUUAUCCCAAGAUAUACGUCACAUAAACACAAACAAAAAGACGUGAUCCAAUGAUAUUUAUCCCCAUCAAGUUUGAUAUUUCUGCUUUUUCUUCAGCUUAAAUUCACAAGUUGUUGCGAGCCACCUUCCAUGACGAUGAUGGAUCUAACGGAUUCCAUGACACCAAAGACUAUGUAAUGCGUGAAGGAAACUGAAAUCUUUAGCUUCAAUAGAAUUAACGCUCUUUCCAAUAGAUGAACUUCUUGCAAACAUGAAGACAUCUGACUCGUCUCGAGCUAUCCAACCCAAACCCAUUGGAGCAUUUGCUUCUUUAAAACUGCCAUCGUGGUUGCUAUCUAUCCAUCCAUUAUAUUAGAUGAGUGGUGCCAAGUUGUAUUCGUUGU
Molecule: long non-coding RNA, 611 nt
Filed under: Arabidopsis lyrata
Lineage: Eukaryota; Viridiplantae; Streptophyta; Magnoliopsida; Brassicales; Brassicaceae
Description: long non-coding RNA (ALYR_LNC003339)
Source: RNAcentral